RNAcentral lists this ribosomal RNA (606 nucleotides) under uncultured bacterium. Its description in RNAcentral is "bacterial SSU rRNA". It matches the Rfam family "Bacterial small subunit ribosomal RNA", at positions 79 to 681 of the family's 1533-position model. The record is from RNAcentral.
CUUGCUUCUCUUGAGAGCGGCGGACGGGUGAGUAAUGCCUAGGAAUCUGCCUGGUAGUGGGGGAUAACGUCCGGAAACGGACGCUAAUACCGCAUACGUCCUACGGGAGAAAGCAGGGGACCUUCGGGCCUUGCGCUAUCAGAUGAGCCUAGGUCGGAUUAGCUAGUUGGUGGGGUAAUGGCUCACCAAGGCGACGAUCCGUAACUGGUCUGAGAGGAUGAUCAGUCACACUGGAACUGAGACACGGUCCAGACUCCUACGGGAGGCAGCAGUGGGGAAUAUUGGACAAUGGGCGAAAGCCUGAUCCAGCCAUGCCGCGUGUGUGAAGAAGGUCUUCGGAUUGUAAAGCACUUUAAGUUGGGAGGAAGGGCAGUAAAUUAAUACUUUGCUGUUUUGACGUUACCGACAGAAUAAGCACCGGCUAACUCUGUGCCAGCAGCCGCGGUAAUACAGAGGGUGCAAGCGUUAAUCGGAAUUACUGGGCGUAAAGCGCGCGUAGGUGGUUCGUUAAGUUGGAUGUGAAAUCCCCGGGCUCAACCUGGGAACUGCAUUCAAAACUGACGAGCUAGAGUAUGGUAGAGGGUGGUGGAAUUUCCUGUGUAGCGG